RNAcentral lists this non-coding RNA (33 nucleotides) under Tetragenococcus muriaticus DSM 15685. RNAcentral's name for it is "L31-Firmicutes ribosomal protein leader". It matches the Rfam family "L31-Firmicutes ribosomal protein leader". The record is from RNAcentral. Lineage: Bacteria; Bacillati; Bacillota; Bacilli; Lactobacillales; Enterococcaceae.
CUCUGAUUUAGUAAAUAACUCAGGGCAAAGGAG